This 30-nucleotide non-coding RNA is filed under the name Homo sapiens (human). Lineage: Eukaryota; Metazoa; Chordata; Mammalia; Primates; Hominidae. The record is from RNAcentral.
UAUUUAAAGCUACGGGGCCAUGGUCUAUGC